Prionailurus viverrinus (fishing cat) is the source of this 186-nucleotide long non-coding RNA. RefSeq lists it as uncharacterized. The transcript is spliced from 3 exons. The record is from RefSeq and is a predicted model, not a curated record. Lineage: Eukaryota; Metazoa; Chordata; Mammalia; Carnivora; Felidae.
AGCCCAUGGUCGAGAAGGAAUACUUGAGAGGUGCCUGGCUGGCCCAGCGGGGAGAGCGUGUGACCCUGGGGUGCACAUUGACAUCGAGGCAGCUGAGCUCCUCGGGAAGGUCUCUCUGCCUGUCUCAGCUGGUGUCCCGGAAAGAGAAGGCUCGUGGAGGACAGCCGCGGCGCCCUUGGAAGCCCC